UAUAGAGUUUUAAUGAUAUACAGUGAGGAAUAGAAGUAUUUGAAGACCCUGCGAUUUUGUAAGUUCUCCCACUUAGAAAUCAUGGAGGGGUCUGAAAUUCACAUUGUAGGUGCAUUCCCAC
Bufo bufo (common toad) is the source of this 121-nucleotide long non-coding RNA. RefSeq lists it as uncharacterized. The transcript has 3 exons. NCBI's taxonomy places the organism in Eukaryota, Metazoa, Chordata, Amphibia, Anura, Bufonidae. The record is from RefSeq and is a predicted model, not a curated record.